RNAcentral lists this ribosomal RNA (466 nucleotides) under uncultured Alphaproteobacteria bacterium. RNAcentral's name for it is "bacterial SSU rRNA". It matches the Rfam family "Bacterial small subunit ribosomal RNA", at positions 9 to 521 of the family's 1533-position model. Lineage: Bacteria; Pseudomonadati; Pseudomonadota; Alphaproteobacteria. The record is from RNAcentral.
GAGUUUGAUCUUGGCUCAGAAUGAACGCUGGCGGCAUGCCUAACACAUGCAAGUCGAACGAAGGCUUCGGCCUUAGUGGCGCACGGGUGCGUAACGCGUGGGAAUCUGCCCUUGGGUUCGGAAUAACUCACCGAAAGGUGUGCUAAUACCGGAUGAUGUCGUAAGACCAAAGAUUUAUCGCCCAAGGAUGAGCCCGCGUAGGAUUAGCUAGUUGGUGAGGUAAAGGCUCACCAAGGCGACGAUCCUUAGCUGGUCUGAGAGGAUGAUCAGCCACACUGGGACUGAGACACGGCCCAGACUCCUACGGGAGGCAGCAGUGGGGAAUAUUGGACAAUGGGCGAAAGCCUGAUCCAGCAAUGCCGCGUGAGUGAUGAAGGCCUUAGGGUUGUAAAGCUCUUUUACCCGGGAUGAUAAUGACAGUACCGGGAGAAUAAGCUCCGGCUAACUUCGUGCCAGCCGCCGCCGU